GGAGGAUUCGCCUAGUGGCCUAGGGCGCACGCUUGGAAAGCGUGUUGGGGGCAACCCCUCGCGAGUUCGAAUCUCGCAUCCUCCGCAA
This 88-nucleotide transfer RNA is filed under the name Parafrankia irregularis. RNAcentral's name for it is "Frankia irregularis tRNA_Ser_GGA". It matches the Rfam family "tRNA". From Rfam's summary of the family: Transfer RNA (tRNA) molecules are approximately 80 nucleotides in length. Their secondary structure includes four short double-helical elements and three loops (D, anti-codon, and T loops). The record is from RNAcentral. Lineage: Bacteria; Bacillati; Actinomycetota; Actinomycetes; Frankiales; Frankiaceae.